RNAcentral lists this ribosomal RNA (468 nucleotides) under uncultured bacterium. Its description in RNAcentral is "partial 16S ribosomal RNA". It matches the Rfam family "Bacterial small subunit ribosomal RNA", at positions 28 to 507 of the family's 1533-position model. The record is from RNAcentral.
GACGAACGCUGGCGGCGUGCUUAACACAUGCAAGUCGAACGGAAAGGCCCUGCUUUUGUGGGGUGCUCGAGUGGCGAACGGGUGAGUAACACGUGAGUAACCUGCCCUUGACUUUGGGAUAACUUCAGGAAACUGGGGCUAAUACCGGAUAGGAGCUCCUGCUGCAUGGUGGGGGUUGGAAAGUUUCGGCGGUUGGGGAUGGACUCGCGGCUUAUCAGCUUGUUGGUGGGGUAGUGGCUUACCAAGGCUUUGACGGGUAGCCGGCCUGGGAGGGUGACCGGCCACAUUGGGCCUGAGGUACGGACCAGACUCCUACGGGAGGCAGCAGUGGGGAAUAUUGCACAAUGGGCGGAAGCCUGAUGCAGCAGCGCCGCGUGCGGGAUGACGGCCUUCGGGUUGUAAACCGCUUUCGCCUGUGACGAAGCGUGAGUGACGGUAAUGGGUAAAGAAGCACCGGCUAACUACGUG